This 800-nucleotide long non-coding RNA is filed under the name Equus asinus (donkey). RNAcentral's name for it is "lncRNA (ENSEASG00005030532.1)". The record is from RNAcentral. Lineage: Eukaryota; Metazoa; Chordata; Mammalia; Perissodactyla; Equidae.
UCAGAGGCUCGUUGUGGAUGCCGGCGGAGGAGAUGCCACCCAGGGCGGGAAAAGGGGCGCGCAGGAGGGGCGGCGGCCGGCCGCGGUCCGGAGGGCCCUUUCCUCCCGCCUUUGACUCAAUUAAUUAGGCUCGGAGCUUCCGCCAGAGAGGGGUCUCUGAGAGGGGACACUGCAGGGGGCGGAGGCUGGCGGAGAUCAAGGGCCGAGGCCGCCCGCCCGGGGAGAAAGAGGAGGAGGACGAGCAGGCGUAGAAAAAUGCAGUUUCCAUAGUGCCGGGAAGAGGGCGGGCUCCAGCGAGAAAACAGCCCCAGGAGCCGGGUCCCCGCGGCGGCAUGCCUUCCUCCCACCAGACCUUCUGCACCGCGCGCGGAGGUGCCAGACGUGGACGGCUUCAGACCUGGGCGCCCGCCCUUCCCAGGCAGCGACUGCCGCGUUGAGGAUGCCCUUGAAGAAGUGCUUCGAGUUUUUACAUCCGCUUGGCUUUGGUGACUUCCAAAGUCGAUUACAAAUAAGGACCCAUGGAGUCGCAUCUUCUAAAUGACAAAUUGACAUUUAAGUUGAUUGGCGAGUGAUCCGGAGAGCUGACUGCAGGACCGCAGCCUCGCGCGGCCUCUGGCGCAUCCACCUGAGCUGUUGGGUAUCUUCAACGUGCUCCCGCAGAAGCGUCGCUGCCGUUCCUCCAGGCUUAUUCCGCAUCCGGUCGGAGAGUAACGACUCCAUUUUUGGUGGUAUUGAAGUCCACGUCAUUCACUUCAAAAUGUUUCUUAAAUAUAAUUAAACUAUUUGCUGUUGUUAUCUCA